This 293-nucleotide long non-coding RNA is filed under the name Elaeis guineensis (African oil palm). RNAcentral's name for it is "long non-coding RNA (EGUI_LNC028336)". Lineage: Eukaryota; Viridiplantae; Streptophyta; Magnoliopsida; Arecales; Arecaceae. The record is from RNAcentral.
CAACCCUUUAACGAUGAUUUUCUUUUCCAUCAAAAUAAUUCAUCGAUAAAUAUUAUUAUUAGCGAUGACUUCUUAGCCAUUGCUAAUGGCCAUCGUUAAUAAAGAAUAUUCUUAUAGUGCCUUUAGAAAGAGGAGGCCGAGCUCUACCUCAGGAGAAAGUUCCUCAAAGAGGGCAAGACUGACGACUUCUCUAGUGCCUGCCGCGUUAGCCUCUUUGGGAUCGGUUGGGACCUCCAAUGCAGGCAAUGCAUAGUAUUUGAAUAAAACUCAAAUAAGAAGUAUUUGAAUAUCUU